UACGAAGGGGGCUAGCGUUGCUCGGAAUUACUGGGCGUAAAGGGUGCGUAGGCGGGUUUUUAAGUCAGGGGUGAAAUCCUGGAGCUCAACUCCAGAACUGCCUUUGAUACUGAAGAUCUCGAGUCCGGGAGAGGUGAGUGGAACUGCGAGUGUAGAGGUGAAAUUCGUAGAUAUUCGCAAGAACACCAGUGGCGAAGGCGGCUCACUGGCCCGGUACUGACGCUGAGGCACGAAAGCGUGGGGAGCAAACAGG
Molecule: ribosomal RNA, 253 nt
Filed under: uncultured bacterium
Lineage: Bacteria
Description: partial 16S ribosomal RNA
Rfam family: Bacterial small subunit ribosomal RNA
Source: RNAcentral